Molecule: long non-coding RNA, 1129 nt
Filed under: Homo sapiens (human)
Lineage: Eukaryota; Metazoa; Chordata; Mammalia; Primates; Hominidae
Description: HSALNT0117774
Source: RNAcentral
UACAGGCGCCCACCACCACGCCUGGCUAAUUGUUUUGUAUUUUUAGUAGAGAAGGGGUUUCACCAUGUUAGCCAGGAUGGUCUUGAUCUCCUGACCUCGUGAUCCGCCUGCCUCGGCCUCCCAAAGUGCCGGGGUUAUAGGCAUGAGCCACCCCACCUAGCCUCACUUCUGAAUUUUACCCCUAAGUUGGCAUGGGAACAUUCCAGAAGGCAGAGAUGGUUACUCCCUGUAUGCCAGUGAAUCUCAAGUUAUCUCAGGUAGCAGAGCCUCCAGAGGUCAUGGGAGUUUUCUUAAACAUUUAGAACUAUGCCUACAUUUGACUCCCACCUACAUUUGACUCCUGCCUACAUUUGACUCCCGCCUACAUUUGACUGACUCUGCCUACAUUUGACUCCCGCCUACAUUUGACUCCCACCUACAUUUGACUGACUCCUGCCUACAUUUGACCCCCACCUACAUUUGAGUCCCACCUACAUUUGACUGACUCCCGCCUACAUUUGACUCCCGCCUACAUUUGACUCUUGCCUACAUUUGACUGACUCCCACCUACAUUUGACUCCCACCAACAUUUGACUCCCGCCUACCUUUGACUGACUCCCACCUACAUUUGACUGACUCCUGCCUACAUUUAGCUCCCACCUCCAUUUGGCUCUUACCUCCAUUUGACUCCCACCUGCAUUUGACUACCGCCUCCACUGGACUCUGUCCUGCAUUGGACUGACUCCCACCUACAUUUGACUCCCACCUACAUUUGACUGACUCCCACCUACAUUUGACUCCCGCCUACAUUUGACUCCCGCCUACACUUGAUUCCUGCCUACAUUUGACUGCCGCCUACAUUUGACUCCCUCAUCAAUAAACUUCCCCAGGGGCAAUUUGCAUAUAGUUCUCUGCACCUAAAAAUUCACUCUAAAAAAUAUAAUAUUUCAAGAAACCCCAUUUUCGCUAGACAGAAAUACAUUUCAUAAGUCUAUUUAGUAAAUCCAACGUGCAGGGUCAUGGCAAAGCUCAGCUGGUGCUGGACAGCUAAGCAACCGGGCGCCCUCCCUGGCAGCAGGUAGCAGUCCUGGGUACCCAGGGUCUGACAAAGCUGUAGAGAGAAAAUCCUUACAUCAAGCACAUCCCAUCG